Ananas comosus (pineapple) is the source of this 222-nucleotide long non-coding RNA. RefSeq lists it as uncharacterized. The transcript is spliced from 3 exons. Lineage: Eukaryota; Viridiplantae; Streptophyta; Magnoliopsida; Poales; Bromeliaceae. The record is from RefSeq and is a predicted model, not a curated record.
AUCGCCGGCGGCCAUCCCUAGCUCCCACAGCUCCGGUCCGGUCGCUUCGUCUCCGCCUUAGCGAGACCAUUUCAGCUUUAUACAGGUGACGUCGCAGGUCCGAGUGGGACGGCAGGUGAGGAGCGAGUCUAGCGCGCGUUAGAGCUCCGUCCCGUUUGGUUAUCUCUUUUCCCUUGCUUGAAUAAAUAGUAAACUUUCAUUACGGUUCAGUUUCAUUCGGUA